Molecule: ribosomal RNA, 270 nt
Filed under: uncultured bacterium
Lineage: Bacteria
Description: partial 16S ribosomal RNA
Rfam family: Bacterial small subunit ribosomal RNA
Source: RNAcentral
ACUCCUGACGGGAGGCGAGCAGUGGGGAAUAUUGGACAAUGGGGGAACCCUGAUCCAGCCAUGCCGCGUGUGUGAAGAAGGCCUUAUGGUUGUUAAAGCACUUUAAGCGAGGAGGAGGCUACUGAGACUAAUACUCUUUGGAUAGUGGACGUUACUCGCAGAAUUAAGCACCGGCUAACUCUGUGCCAGCAGCCGCGGUAAAUACAGAGGGUGCGAGCGUUUAAUCGGAUUUACUGGGGCGUAAAGCGUGCGUAGGCGGCCAUUUAAGUC